UCUUCAUCAGCUCGAAUGCAAAGUACUCCCGGGAGUGAGGUGUUACUCCCUUGUAACGCCUCGGGGCUCGAUGACAUCACCUGGACCUUCAACCACCACCAGACCAUCCUCAGAAGACAAGCAGGACAAGAGAAGGUGGUUGAAACAGAGUGGCAGCAGCAUGUAAGAAACCUGUCUGAAUCAGGCAGCCUCCUGCUGUAUGUGACCUCAUCAGCCCAGAGUGAAGGGACGUACAGGUGUACUCGAAGGAACGCAGACGAAGAAGACGUAGCCAACAUUGAACUGAAGAUACCGUACGACCCUGAGGCUCAUGGGGGAUCCAAAAUAACACUAUGGAUCAUAGUUGGAGUCUUCCUUGCAGUUAUCCUUAUAGCUAACAUAUGUUUUUUUUCAAGAAAGCUGCUGAAAAAAAACCCUUCUCCUUCUGAUGGAGAAGGGACAUCUGGUACCCAGUCUACACCUCUCCUCUCUACAGAGCUUCCUGCAGAUCUACCAACAUCCAUCACUCCAGCUCCCUCCAGUGAAACACAGCCUGCAGAUCUACCAACAUCCAUCACUCCAGCUCCCUCCAGUGAAACACAGCCUGCAGAUCUACCAACAUCCAUCACUCCAGCUCCCUCCAGUGAAACACAGCCUGCAGAUCUACCAACAUCCAUCACUCCAGCUCCCUCCAGUGAAACACAGCCUGCAGAUCUACCAACAUCCAUCACUCCAGCUCCCUCCAGUGAAACACAGCCUGCAGA
Gadus chalcogrammus (walleye pollock) is the source of this 743-nucleotide long non-coding RNA. RefSeq lists it as uncharacterized. The transcript is spliced from 3 exons. The record is from RefSeq and is a predicted model, not a curated record. Lineage: Eukaryota; Metazoa; Chordata; Actinopteri; Gadiformes; Gadidae.